GCGCCAGUAGCUCAGCUUGGACAGAGCACUUCCCUCCUAAGGAAGGGGUCGGGAGUUCGAAUCUUCCCUGGCGCG
RNAcentral lists this transfer RNA (75 nucleotides) under archaeon. RNAcentral describes it as "tRNA-Arg". It matches the Rfam family "tRNA". Rfam says of the family: Transfer RNA (tRNA) molecules are approximately 80 nucleotides in length. Their secondary structure includes four short double-helical elements and three loops (D, anti-codon, and T loops). The record is from RNAcentral. RNAcentral also lists the same sequence under 1 other name.